Long non-coding RNA from Podarcis raffonei (Aeolian wall lizard), 905 nucleotides. RefSeq lists it as uncharacterized. The transcript has 3 exons. The record is from RefSeq and is a predicted model, not a curated record. Lineage: Eukaryota; Metazoa; Chordata; Lepidosauria; Squamata; Lacertidae.
UUGGGGGCCACCCAAAAGUAUACUUCUUAAUUGAAUUUCACUAUUAAUAUACUUCUUAAUUGUAUUUCAGUUCAACAAUUACUUUGAUAAAAUCCAUAUUCUGUUAUGUGCAAAUGGCUUUAGAUACCUAUUAGGCCCAUAAAUUACCAUGUAGCAUAUAUUCAACACAAAAAACAGCAGCAAUUUGUUGUUGACAAAGGGCCCCAUUACCUUCAGUAGCUUAGGGCCUCGUCAAACCUAAAUCCGGCCCUGCACACACCCUCCAGACAUCUGUGUUCCCUGCAAUCGAUGAACCUGCAGUCCUGAACUAGGAUCCCAUUCAGGGCAGUGGGAGUUGCUUCUUGAACAAGCAUGUUUAUGGUUGGUUUUAGUCACUUACAUUAAGGACGUAAAAUCAGAUCAAAGUCCACAGUGCCAAAGCUGGGGAAACCAGAAAGAAAUGGGGAACAAAUCCAGUGACACUAAACAGAUGGGAAACGGUUCUUCUGCCACAUCAAAGGGAAAAGUCAUCCUUCUACCAGGCAUGAUCAUUCAAGGUGAGGCAACUAAAAUAUAGAAUGGAAAAGAAAAUAUCUGUGUGAGAAACAGCAAGUUCAUCCAGUUCUAAGAAAAUCUUCUCUCAGGUGAUCCUAAUAUCUGUGUUCCUGAGUAAAGAAAAUCAAUCAAUAAAAAUAUUGCAAGUAUUGAGCUGAAACAAACAUGUUUUGUGCAUAUUUUUUUACCCCUUUCAAAAGGAUGCAUGACUGGUGGAAAGGAAAUGUAUCCCUACUGCCAAGACAAUUUGAUCAGUGCAUAAAGGUAGAACUCAGCUGAAUGGUCCAGGUUUCAAGUCAAAAGCCAGACAAAAGCUACUUUCUGUUUUAAAAGGAACCUUCCACAGAGAGUUAAUCCUCACACAAUCACCA